This 129-nucleotide small RNA is filed under the name Marmota monax (woodchuck). Lineage: Eukaryota; Metazoa; Chordata; Mammalia; Rodentia; Sciuridae. The record is from RNAcentral.
GCCAGGUGCAGUGGUGUACGCCUUUAAUCCCAGCAGCUGAGGAGGCUGAGGCUGGAGGAUCGGGAGUUCAAAACCGGCCUCAGCAAGAAGUGAGGUGCUGAUAAGCAACUCAGUGAGACCCUGUCUCUA